ACAAAGUUGCUGCAGUUAAAAGCUCGUAGUUGGAUUUCGGGUGGGUUCUAGCGGUCCGCCUAUGGUGAGUACUGCUAUGGCCUUCCUUUCUGUCGGGGACGGGCUUCUGGGCUUCACUGUCCGGGACUCGGAGUCGACGUGGUUACUUUGAGUAAAUUAGAGUGUUCAAAGCAGGCUUACGCCCUGAAUACUUUAGCAUGGAAUAACACGAUAGGACUCUGGCCUAUCUUGUUGGUCUGUAGGACUGGAGUAAUGAUUAAGAGGGACAGUCGGGGGCAUUCGUAUUUCAUUGUCAGAGGUGAAAUUCUUGGAUUUAUGAAAGACGAACUACUGCGAAAGCAUUUGCCAAGGAUGUUUUCAUUAAUCAAGAACGAAAGUUGGGGGCUCGAAGA
RNAcentral lists this ribosomal RNA (392 nucleotides) under Chlorella sp. MACC 811. RNAcentral describes it as "SSU rRNA". It matches the Rfam family "Eukaryotic small subunit ribosomal RNA", at positions 606 to 1004 of the family's 1831-position model. Lineage: Eukaryota; Viridiplantae; Chlorophyta; Trebouxiophyceae; Chlorellales; Chlorellaceae. The record is from RNAcentral.